This 73-nucleotide transfer RNA is filed under the name Paludibacteraceae bacterium. Its description in RNAcentral is "tRNA-Phe". It matches the Rfam family "tRNA". Rfam says of the family: Transfer RNA (tRNA) molecules are approximately 80 nucleotides in length. Lineage: Bacteria; Pseudomonadati; Bacteroidota; Bacteroidia; Bacteroidales; Paludibacteraceae. The record is from RNAcentral.
GGUGCCAUAUCUAAUUUGGUAGAGCAAAGGACUGAAAAUCCUUGUGUCCCUAGUUCGAUUCUCGGUGGCACCA